Small nuclear RNA from Trichosurus vulpecula (common brushtail), 130 nucleotides. Lineage: Eukaryota; Metazoa; Chordata; Mammalia; Diprotodontia; Phalangeridae. The record is from RefSeq and is a predicted model, not a curated record.
GUGUUGUAUAAAAGGAGAGAAAGUUAGCACUCCCUUUGAUAAGGAUGGAAGUCCAUUAUUGAAACUCUACAGCAAAAAGCAGAGGCUGACAAGAAUGAUAAAUUGGUGAAAGAACUGGUCAUCUUAUUGU